GCCCUUCGGGGUACUCGAGUGGCGAACGGGUGAGUAACACGUGGGUGAUCUGCCCUGCACUUCGGGAUAAGCUUGGGAAACUGGGUCUAAUACCGGAUAUACCUCUUUAGUUGCAUGACUUUGGGGGGAAAGCUUUUGCGGUGUGGGAUGGGCCCGCGGCCUAUCAGCUUGUUGGUGGGGUGAUGGCCUACCAAGGCGACGACGGGUAGCCGGCCUGAGAGGGUGACCGGCCACACUGGGACUGAGAUACGGCCCAGACUCCUACGGGAGGCAGCAGUGGGGAAUAUUGCACAAUGGGCGCAAGCCUGAUGCAGCGACGCCGCGUGAGGGAUGACGGCCUUCGGGUUGUAAACCUCUUUCAGUAGGGACGAAGCGCAAGUGACGGUACCUAUAGAAGAAGGACCGGCCAACUACGUGCCAGCAGCCGCGGUAAUACGUAGGGUCCGAGCGUUGUCCGGAAUUACUGGGCGUAAAGAGCUCGUAGG
This 485-nucleotide ribosomal RNA is filed under the name uncultured Mycobacterium sp. RNAcentral's name for it is "bacterial SSU rRNA". It matches the Rfam family "Bacterial small subunit ribosomal RNA", at positions 75 to 575 of the family's 1533-position model. The record is from RNAcentral. Lineage: Bacteria; Bacillati; Actinomycetota; Actinomycetes; Mycobacteriales; Mycobacteriaceae.